AAUCUUAUUCUAUUUAUAUUAACAAACAAACAAUCAAAAGUGAAGAAUAAUAAUUUCACCAACCACCCCAGUUAAAAAAUAAUUAAUUUCAUCAAUUAAACAAAUUAACUAAAUUUUAAGAUUUUAGGGUCUUCUCGUCCUCUUAAAAAAUUUCAACUUUUUCACUAAAAAAUAAAAUUCAACCUCUCAUAAAACUGAGACAACCUUAUCUUCAUUUAUUCAUUCAUACAAUUUUACAAUCAAUAAACUAAUUAUUAUGCUACCUUUGCAA
RNAcentral lists this ribosomal RNA (271 nucleotides) under Facetotecta sp. RNAcentral describes it as "partial large subunit ribosomal RNA". The record is from RNAcentral. Lineage: Eukaryota; Metazoa; Arthropoda; Thecostraca.